GUGGGGAAUAUUGGACAAUGGGCGCAAGCCUGAUCCAGCCAUGCCGCGUGAGUGAUGAAGGCCUUAGGGUCGUAACGCUCUGUUGCAUGGGAAGAAAAAAAUGACGGUACCAUUCGAGGAAGGACCGGCUAACUUCGUGCCAGCAGCCGCGGUAAUACGUGCGGUCCUAGCGUUGUUCGGAAUCAUUGGGCGUAAAGGGUGCGUAGGUGGCCAUGUAAGUCAGGUGUGAAAGCCCCGGGCUCAACCCGGGAAGUGCACUUGAUACUGCGUGGCUUGAGUACCGAAGAGGGUAGUGGAAAUCCAGGUGUAGUGGUGAAAUACGUAGAUAUCUGGAGGAACACCGGUGGCGAAGGCGGCUACCUGGUCGAGUACUGACACUGAGACACGAAAGCAUGGGGAUCAAACAGGAUUAGAUACCCGUGUAGUCC
This 428-nucleotide ribosomal RNA is filed under the name uncultured bacterium. RNAcentral describes it as "partial 16S ribosomal RNA". It matches the Rfam family "Bacterial small subunit ribosomal RNA", at positions 354 to 796 of the family's 1533-position model. The record is from RNAcentral.